ACGUACACUCCUGCGGGAGGCAGCAGUAGGGAAUCUUCGGCAAUGGGGGCAACCCUGACCGAGCAACGCCGCGUGAGUGAAGAAGGUUUUCGGAUCGUAAAGCUCUGUUGUAAGUCAAGAACGAGUGUGAGAGUGGAAAGUUCACACUGUGACGGUAGCUUACCAGAAAGGGACGGCUAACUACGUGCCAGCAGCCGCGGUAAUACGUAGGUCCCGAGCGUUGUCCGGAUUUAUUGGGCGUAAAGCGAGCGCAGGCGGUUUGAUAAGUCUGAAGUUAAAGGCUGUGGCUCAACCAUAGUUCGCUUUGGAAACGGUCAAACUUGAGUGCAGAAGGGGAGAGUGGAAUUCCAUGUGUAGCGGUGAAAUGCGUAGAUAUAUGGAGGAACACCGGUGGCGAAAGCGGCUCUCUGGUCUGUAACUGACGCUGAGGCUCGAAAGCGUGGGGAGCGAACAGGAUUAGAAACCCUAGUAGUCCCA
RNAcentral lists this ribosomal RNA (477 nucleotides) under uncultured organism. RNAcentral's name for it is "partial 16S ribosomal RNA". It matches the Rfam family "Bacterial small subunit ribosomal RNA", at positions 329 to 797 of the family's 1533-position model. The record is from RNAcentral.